UGUUUAUAAAAAUUUUUAUAAAUACAACCUGCUCCAUGAAAAAUUUUUAAAUAGCUGCAAUUUUUGUACUAAGGUAGCAUAAUCAUUUGUUUUUUAAUUUUAAACUAGAAUGAAAGGUAAAACAAAUUAUUUCUUUAUUAUUUAUUUUUUUAUAACUUAUAUUAAAUAUAAAAAUAUAUUUUUUUAAAAAAAAGACGACAAGACCCUAUUGAACUUUACUUUAGUUUAGCUGGGGAAGCUAAAUAACAAAUAUUUUAUUAAAAUUUUAUAAAUGACCCAAAAUAUUUGAAUAAAUAAUCAAGUUACCAUAGGGAUAACAGCGCAAUAAAUUUUUAAAGUUCUUAUUUUAAAAUUUGCUUACGACCUCGAUGUUGAAUUAAAAAUCUUUUCUAAGCAAAAAUAUUAAAAGUAGGUCUGUUCGACCUUUAAAAUUCUACAUGAU
This 442-nucleotide ribosomal RNA is filed under the name Spintharus sp. LA 00001773A. RNAcentral's name for it is "partial 16S ribosomal RNA". The record is from RNAcentral. Lineage: Eukaryota; Metazoa; Arthropoda; Arachnida; Araneae; Theridiidae.